Long non-coding RNA from Rhodamnia argentea, 185 nucleotides. RefSeq lists it as uncharacterized. The transcript is spliced from 3 exons. Lineage: Eukaryota; Viridiplantae; Streptophyta; Magnoliopsida; Myrtales; Myrtaceae. The record is from RefSeq and is a predicted model, not a curated record.
GUUAUUUAUUAGGUUGUUCUUAAUGAGCGUGAGGUCUAUCCCGGAGAUGAGUUUUCUGCAGCUUUGGCUGAUUUAAUGAAGCUUGGUGACAAGGUUAUGCCUCGCUCAGAACAGGUUGGUAAUAAGCUCGAGAGCUAUCCCACACAUUACUCAAUAGAUGAGGGGUGUAAUUCUUUCUCCAUGAU